This 121-nucleotide non-coding RNA is filed under the name Chinchilla lanigera (long-tailed chinchilla). The record is from RNAcentral. Lineage: Eukaryota; Metazoa; Chordata; Mammalia; Rodentia; Chinchillidae.
GUGCUGCAUGAAAGGAGAGAAGGUUAGCACUCCCCCUGACAAGAUGGAAGAGACCCUUGGGCCUGACAACAUGCACAUGGUGAAGACAUUGCAUUGUUAAGGCAAAAUAUAGCCAAGGUAA